GAUGAACGCUGGCGGCGUGCUUAACACAUGCAAGUCGAACGGAAAGGCCCAAGCUUGCUUGGGUACUCGAGUGGCGAACGGGUGAGUAACACGUGGGUGAUCUGCCCUGCACUUCGGGAUAAGCCUGGGAAACUGGGUCUAAUACCGGAUAGGACCACAUUUUGGAUGGUGUGGUGGAAAGUUUUUCGGUGUGGGAUGAGCUCGCGGCCUAUCAGCUUGUUGGUGGGGUAAUGGCCUACCAAGGCGUCGACGGGUAGCCGGCCUGAGAGGGUGUACGGCCACAUUGGGACUGAGAUACGGCCCAGACUCCUACGGGAGGCAGCAGUGGGGAAUAUUGCACAAUGGGCGCAAGCCAGAUGCAGCGACGCCGCGUGGGGGAUGACGGCCUUCGGGUUGUAAACUCCUUUCGCUAGGGACGAAGCGUUAUGUGACGGUACCUGGAGAAGAAGCACCGGCUAACUACGUG
Molecule: ribosomal RNA, 466 nt
Filed under: uncultured bacterium
Lineage: Bacteria
Description: partial 16S ribosomal RNA
Rfam family: Bacterial small subunit ribosomal RNA
Source: RNAcentral